GGUGGGUGUGCCUGAAAUUUGGCUCAGGCCUAGCUAAGACGAAGGUGAGCAAAGUUUCAGGUGUAUUCACUU
Molecule: microRNA precursor, 72 nt
Filed under: Biomphalaria glabrata
Lineage: Eukaryota; Metazoa; Mollusca; Gastropoda; Planorbidae
Description: mir-87 microRNA precursor family
Rfam family: mir-87 microRNA precursor family
Source: Rfam by way of RNAcentral